UACGGAGGGUGCGAGCGUUGUCCGGAAUCACCGGGCGUAAAGGGCGCGUAGGCGGCGCGGGAAGUCCGUGGUGAAAGCCCGAGGCUCAACUUCGGGUCGGCCAUGGAUACUCCUGGGCUCGAGCACUGUAGAGGCAGGUGGAAUUCCGGGUGUAGCGGUGAAAUGCGUAGAGAUCAUGAGGAAGACCAGUGGCGAAGGCGGGUCUCUGGACAGUUCCUGACACUGAGACACGAAGGCCAGGGGAGCAAACGGG
This 253-nucleotide ribosomal RNA is filed under the name uncultured bacterium. RNAcentral's name for it is "partial 16S ribosomal RNA". It matches the Rfam family "Bacterial small subunit ribosomal RNA", at positions 524 to 776 of the family's 1533-position model. The record is from RNAcentral.